This is a non-coding RNA of Phascolarctos cinereus (koala), 612 nucleotides long. Lineage: Eukaryota; Metazoa; Chordata; Mammalia; Diprotodontia; Phascolarctidae. The record is from RefSeq and is a predicted model, not a curated record.
GGAGAGGGGGGGCCCGUCGUCUCCCUCCUCUCCUCUCCCCCGUCUUUCCAGACCCCGCCCUGGUGACAGCGAGGUGGGUCCGACCUUUGGGAACUGGCUGCCCCCAACCCUGUUCCGUGGGAUGGCUGGAGGGGAGGACGGCCGUAGCAGCCGUCCACUCAUUCAGAAUACCAGAGUUGGCACGAAGCUGAGUCCCAACUUAGAAAUGUGCCUGAGUGUCCUACUCACCCAAAACAUUGAAUGGAAAGUUUCCAUCCCAAGGCCCAGCUCAUUUUCACAAUGUCUGCCCAAGAAGAGCUUCUACGGGCCAUCCAUCCAACUGCAUUGAAUGAUAGCUUGGACGAUUCAUCAGCUUGGAUUUUCCUGCAUGGAUACAAUAGUUAGGUCUAACUUUUUGGAGGGAUGCUGGAUCUGAUGUAGGAGCCCCCGCAAUGUUCCGGGGCUUGACAGAAUCAACACAAUGCCACCAGAAACAGGAACACUUGAAUGAUCUCACCGUUGAUGGGGAACCCCUCUUCCAUUGGAACUACAUUAAGGACAGUAUCUGCUCACCUUGUCCAUGGUCACACCGACACCUUUGAACAUCUACCUCCCUAUUUCGUGCUUAUUUGA